UCGGCCCCGGCCCCCUCAGUACUUGCGAUCACCGUGGCGCUGUGGCUGGGCCCCUUUCGCGCGACCCGUUUAGCACCGUCUGGUGCGAGCAGUUAGGCUUCGCGACGCUUUCCCUCCCGGUUUCCUAAGGAUUCCCAGGCGGGUGGUUGAUGGAUUAGGGUUGAUUUGGAUCGCAGCCCAGAGUAGGUGGUAUACUUCAUCUAAAGCUAAAUACGACUACGAAUCCGAUAGCAAACAAGUACCGUGAGGGAAAGUUGCAAAGUACUUUGAAGAGAGAGUUCAAGAGGACGUGAAACCGGUAGGGUGGAAGCAGAUAAAGUUGACGAACGUGUGUCGUAUUCAGAACUACAAUUUGUGGUUUGUUUUUACGAUCGAUGUGGGCUGGCGUCUUUGGUUAACUUAGUGUCUGGCGGCAAUGGUGACCCUGCGGAGGGAUAAUCGGUUGUCGUGCGAUGCUUGGUAUGGCUAGAGGUUCGCUGGUCUUAUAGUCAUCGCUUUAUCUGACCCGUCUUGAAACACGGACCAAGGAGUGUAGCGCUUACGCGAGUCUUAGAGUGUGUCAAAACUUUGAGGCGUAACGAAAGUAAAUGUGGAUUUAUUCACUGACUUGGGAUGCGUUGUCUUUUUUGGAUAGCGUUGGACCAUGGUUUUAUCGUAAUCGCUUGCGAUGCGGUGAAAAUAGAGCGUAAGCGGUGCGACCCGAAAGAUGGUGAACUAUGCCUGAGCAGGAUGAAGCCGGAGGAAACUCUGGUGGAAGUCCGAAGCGGUUCUGACGUGCAAAUCGAUCGUCUGACUUGGGUAUAGGGGCGAAAGACUAAUCGAACCAUCUGGUAGCUGGUUUCCUCUGAAGUUUCCUCAAGGAUAGCUGAGGUGUGGAACUUUCAGAGGGAAACCAGCUACCCAGAUGGGUUUCGAUUAGCUCUUUCGACCCUAUACCCAAAGGUCAGACGAUCGAUUUUGCACGUCAGACUGCUUUCGGACUUCCACCGGAGUUUCUCGGCCUCCAUCCUGCUUCAAGCCAUAGUUACAAU
RNAcentral lists this ribosomal RNA (1031 nucleotides) under Steinernema sp. n. 1 FS-2012. Its description in RNAcentral is "eukaryotic LSU rRNA". It matches the Rfam family "Eukaryotic large subunit ribosomal RNA", at positions 109 to 1113 of the family's 3401-position model. The record is from RNAcentral. Lineage: Eukaryota; Metazoa; Nematoda; Chromadorea; Rhabditida; Steinernematidae.